Molecule: ribosomal RNA, 445 nt
Filed under: uncultured bacterium
Lineage: Bacteria
Description: bacterial SSU rRNA
Rfam family: Bacterial small subunit ribosomal RNA
Source: RNAcentral
UGGGGAAUUUUGGACAAUGGGCGCAAGCCUGAUCCAGCAAUGCCGCGUGCAGGAAGAAGGCCUUCGGGUUGUAAACUGCUUUUGUCAGGGAAGAAAUCUUCUGGGCUAAUACCCCGGGAGGAUGACGGUACCUGAAGAAUAAGCACCGGCUAACUACGUGCCAGCAGCCGCGGUAAUACGUAGGGUGCGAGCGUUAAUCGGAAUUACUGGGCGUAAAGCGUGCGCAGGCGGCUUUGCAAGACAGAUGUGAAAUCCCCGGGCUCAACUUGGGAACUGCAUUUGUGACUGCAAGGCUAGAGUACGGCAGAGGGGGAUGGAAUUCCGCGUGUAGCAGUGAAAUGCGUAGAUAUGCGGAGGAACACCAAUGGCGAAGGCAAUCCCCUGGGCCUGUACUGACGCUCAUGCACGAAAGCGUGGGGAGCAAACAGGAUUAGAUACCCUGGUA